GAUACGUGGUGGAGGAUGGACCGAUGGACUGCCACGCGCCAAACUUGUCACCGUUUUCUGGCACUGCUGUCUCGCGUUCUGGUGAUUCUUCUCUACCGCGGUCCAUCAGCCACACUCGCUCCUUCGUGUAUUCCUCCUCAUUCACGUCCCCAGUCACGACGCCGUACGCGUAGACUCGACAGCUCACGCCGUAUUGCCCUCUUGAUGCUCGACAUCGCCAAGUCCAGCGCUCGCCUCUCUAGCUCGACUCAUCGGACCUGCCCUUUCUCAGCUUGCUGUCUCCCAGCCGUGUGCCAUGCCUCUGCUCGACAUCGACUAGCGUCGCUAGCCAUCGCGCCCACCUGCUGGUCGCCGAGUUUGCCGACGCUCGUCAGUGUCGCAUCCAACCUCGCAGAGCUCGACACCACCAAGAUCACGUUACUGGUGGAUCAAUCGCUUGGUGAAACAAUUUCCUGAAGGCUGGUCAUCACCCUGAAGACUUGUGAAAUUUUAUUUCCUCAGUCUUCGGCUCUUCUCUGCAACAAAGGUCUUAGUUUUGUGCUGCUGAUGGUGGUGUUAAGUGCCGGUGGGCUCAGCUUUUUUAUAAGUCUAAGUAACCCUUCUAUACUUCUUAUUGAGGAUGGUCUCUUGAGCUAGCAUAUAUUUCAAACUUAUACUUUUGUAAUCACUCCGAUGUAUAUAAUGUAAAAUUUUUGUAACUUGUAAAAAUUUGGUAAUAAGAUUUUCGCUGCAAAAAAAUUGAUGUGUGUGAUUUGCGUUA
Molecule: long non-coding RNA, 760 nt
Organism: Zea mays
Lineage: Eukaryota; Viridiplantae; Streptophyta; Magnoliopsida; Poales; Poaceae
Exons: 3
Source: RefSeq, a predicted model, not a curated record